UACGAACUGUGCGAACGUUAUUCGGAAUCACUGGGCUUACAGGGUGCGUAGGCGGCCUGUUAAGUAGGGUGUGAAAGCCCCCGGCUCAACCGGGGAAUGGCGCCCUAAACUGGCGGGCUGGAGUGAGAUAGGGGUGUGUGGAACUUCCGGUGGAGCGGUGAAAUGUGUUGAUAUCGGAAGGAACGCCGGUGGCGAAAGCGACACACUGGAUCUUGUCUGACGCUGAGGCGCGAAAGCGUGGGGAGCAAACAGG
Molecule: unclassified non-coding RNA, 253 nt
Filed under: uncultured Planctomycetales bacterium
Lineage: Bacteria; Pseudomonadati; Planctomycetota; Planctomycetia; Planctomycetales
Description: contains 16S-23S intergenic spacer region
Rfam family: Bacterial small subunit ribosomal RNA
Source: RNAcentral